AGAGUUGUGGUAGCUGAGCAGUCCUUUUUAGGCCUGGCUAUGCAAGCUGUUGCUAGGUAACUGUUGGGCAGAGCCCAGUGGAAUUGGGUGUAAGCCAAUACUGAGAUUGACACAUAAAAAACUUUUUGGAAUUUCUUAACUUAGCAGAAUGCUACCUUUGACCAGCACAAAGCCCAGGAAUGCCCUCAGAUAGCAUCGAAGGCCUACAGAGAAGUUCUUCUCGUCUUGCUGUAACUGCGGUUCUGAUGCACCCACCCAAGCAUUGUGAGAGCUGUGGUUUUUGCCUCAACAGCAUAGCAGAACCAGCGUCUCCAGUGUGAACUGAAGGCCAGCAGCUCUCCAGGGAUCCCCCAUGUCUUCUGCAGCAGCAGGGAUUCUCUGAGACAUCCAGCCUGUGGACUGAGCAAGGAUAAGCUACCUGAUGGAGGAGAGAUGCAUCCAGUCAUCAAGACCCAGAGAUGCUCAAAGCCAUAGAAUGAAAGGGAUGUGGUGAGUACACACAGCAACCCAACAAACCCCCUCAGGAGCCACUCCUUUCUUCCAGCCCUCACUCUUAUGUUCCCCGUUUCUUGUUCUGCCUAACUCUGUGUUUGGCCACUGCACAGUGUAGUAGAAGCUGGCCUAACUCUGCUUAGGCCCGCUUCCGGCUGGGCUACACUACUUUUGUUGUUGUUGUUGUUGUUCAGUACGUGUGUGUGUGUGUGUGUGUGUGUGUGUGUGUGUGUGUGUGCGUGUGCGUGCGCGCGUGCAUGUGUAUUUGUGUACCCAUGUGCGCAUGCGCAUACAUGUAAAUGCCACAGCACACAUGUGGAAUCAGAGGCCAUCCUGUGGGAGUCAGUUCUCUUCUUCCACCAAGUUCAUUGAACUCAGGUUGUCAGGCUCAGCAGCAGGUACCUUUAUCUGCUGAGCUUUCUUAUGUCAACCAUCCCUGGGUAGGGUCGCUCUGCCUCCCUUAGGUGAACCUACAGUUGUGCAAACCUACUGUGUGCUCCCAGGCUUCUUCCCCACUCUGCCUUUGCUUUUUAUUCCUUAUGUCAUGCACCGCCAACUUCCCCUCCACAGGCCACAGAAACUGCAGGUUUCUCUCUGUUGGUUUUCUGUAUUAACGAAAGUGUGAGCCCCUGAGGUGAACAUCUGCUAGGCCUCAGCCACUGGGGGCAGGUCUAGCCACAGCUGAGCGCUCACAAAUCUCUGCUGACGGAAUAUGGCAGUGGCCAGCACAGUCUCCGAGGUGGACGACUUCUGGCAGUUUGUCAGCUGUUACCUAGAAGCCUGCUUGCUGACUGACUCACAGAGGGGAAAAAACGGCAGGAUGAGGAAAAUACUAUCUACUAUCUACUGAGUAUCUAAAAGUUCUCCAUCCUAUAUGCCUCAAGGAAAGAAACAAACAAACCUAGGAAUUUUCCUAAUGAUGAGAGAGAUUUGAGGUCUGUGGGCCUCAACAUUUUCUGUUCUGCUAUCAUAUUUAUUUUUUCAUUAUUGUAAAAUCCCCACGCCACAAAAUUCUACCUUUAAAAAUAAAUCUAAAAGUCAGUGAUUUAAACUCUACACACAAGAGUUGUGCGUAUGUCACCAUGGUUAUGUAGAACAUUUUAUUACGCCAAUGAUAAAGGUACUCUCUACCAUGUUGCUAUGACCUACACUUCCCCUGCUCUCUUGGCUUGGACUGUCACCUCCCUAUCCCAAAGGCCUUACUUUCCCUCUGUGCAAUGACUAGCAAUGGAAUCAUAGGGUACAUGGCCGUAUCUCUACCGCUUUGUCUCAUCCACACCUGACCCAGACCACAAACACAUAAUACAACAGGAGGUGGAUUUGUCUUUGACAGCAGGCUUGAGAACCAAUCACCAGUUGCCAGGGUGCUCAGAGCAGGAUAUAGAAAUAGGGCUGUGGGGAGCCGGCCCCUGACAGAGGAUUCCAUUUUCCUACAUGGAUUCCCCUCGAAGCUCCUUCUCCAUCCUCAUCUCUGUCCUUGCACCCAAUGGCAGAGCAAUGGGAAGAACAAGAAGGAAAGCAGAAUUCAAAACCCAAGAGGUCACUGUGAGUAGCAGCGACAUUGGCCACAUAUCUUGAGGUCUGCAGGAUUUGCAAAGCAACCUCUGAACUCCGUUCUAGACUAGGCCAGUACCAGAGGAUAAACAGUUCGUCUAAGCCUCAGGAGGCUCUGCUGGGAUCAAGAUCGGAGAGGAUUCCUGAGCCCUGCAAAGAGUCUGUGUGAGCCACGACCAGCCAACCACACCCUACCCUCAGCUGAGCUCAGCCCAGCCGCACUGAUUAAUUACUGGCUUGUGCUCUCUCUACACUAAGUCUCCACGUUUGGACUGUUUAACGUACAUUCCACUAAAAAUUAUUACUUAAGAGAAAUUUCCUUCUCAGCAAUUCCCAGAUGACCGUGGCUGGUUCUGCAACUUGACCACAAACCAUUUUACCUUAAGCAUGUUUGUCAGACUUUCUGUAAGUGUUAACAUUU
Molecule: long non-coding RNA, 2467 nt
Organism: Mus musculus (house mouse)
Lineage: Eukaryota; Metazoa; Chordata; Mammalia; Rodentia; Muridae
Product: predicted gene, 40669
Exons: 3
Source: RefSeq, a predicted model, not a curated record